UACGUAGGGGGCGAGCGUUGUCCGGAUUUAUUGGGCGUAAAGAGCUCGUAGGCGGUUCGAUAAGUCGGGUGUGAAAACUCUGGGCUCAACUCAGAGACGCCACCCGAUACUGUUGUGACUUGAGUCCGGUAGGGGAGUAUGGAAUUCCCGGUGUAGCGGUGAAAUGCGCAGAUAUCGGGAGGAACACCAGUGGCGAAGGCGGUACUCUGGGCCGGAACUGACGCUGAGGAGCGAAAGCGUGGGGAGCGAACAGG
RNAcentral lists this ribosomal RNA (254 nucleotides) under uncultured bacterium. Its description in RNAcentral is "partial 16S ribosomal RNA". It matches the Rfam family "Bacterial small subunit ribosomal RNA", at positions 524 to 776 of the family's 1533-position model. The record is from RNAcentral.